AUAUAAACUUCUCUGUUUUAGUGUGUUAAAGGUGGAUAAGAAGUCAUCUAUUAGGUUAAGCGUGGGCGGCAAGCUGUAUAAAAGUGACACCCUCAGAGUAACUCAGGGUUCAGAAUUUGUCAUGCUAAUACUCUGAACCAUCGUGCACGAAUAAAAACCUGUUUUCUCCAACCCUUCGUGGUCUUGUCUUCUGAUGGCUCCAGCAUUGGCGGUCGGCCACUCCAAGAACCACUGAUGAAGGGUAAGGAGACCAGGCAACUUUCCAGCCGGCUAGAGGACAAAUGAUUCGCCUGCAGGCAAGUAUUGAAAGGGAAAUAAGGAAUCCCUCCCUGUAAGCAGGGACGGAGGAGAGGACUGAUCACCCUCUCUUUGGAAUAAGGUGGGAGGAUUGUUGUGUGUGUUUGCAGUGAGUGAGUGGCGCUCGAACUUCCCAUCGGUGACCGUUGAGUUUCCGGCUCCCUGGGUCUAGCGCGUAUAAGUGAAACCCUCAGUGUAAUCCCGAGUGGAAGGACCCCUUACCUUCCUCUCAUCCCCUUUCCUCAUUUGUCUUGUCUGGUGCCCUGGGAGGCUCAUGGGGGGGUGGUGAAAGUGUACUCCUUACUCCAUUGGGGUGUAUGUUAAAGCAUUUUAAGUCUGCUUAUGAGGAUCAGGAUUGUGGUAUUAAGUGGAGCAGGCAUAAGUUGAGGAUCUUCUGUGAGGUAGAUUGGCCCAGCUUUAACAUAGGCUGGCCAAGCACAGGGACACUAGAUCCAUUCAUUGCUCUAAAAGUACAUUAGUUAGUGUUCAAUCCCAUGUUAGGGCACCCAGACCAGGCACCCUAUAUUGAUGUGUGGCUCGGCUUGUUGCAAAGACCUCCACCAUGGAUUCAGAAAUGCAAAACUGUCCCCUAUGUUAAAAAGUUUAAAGAUAGAAAAAGUUGGGGACAAGCCAUAAUCCAACCAGAUGUCCAGGAUCAAAGGACCCAAACUGGACCUUCAGCAAGAGGUGCUGAGAGGGUCCAAGGCAGAAGAGGAACGGAUGGGACUGCAAAUAGAAGACAGAGAAGUGGGAGGACUGACAGCUGAACAAACGAGGACAAAGACUGAGGAAGCAUCUUUGAAUGCUCCCCUUAGACAAGUAGAUCAAUUGGUUGUCAGUAAGGACGAUCCAGCAGAAACAGCCACAGCUCCUCUAUUCCAACAUAUGCCUUUUAUUACAUCAGACCUUCUUGUUUAGAAAUUUCAUUAUGGCCCAUUUAGUGCAAAAAACAAAUCAAGUGUCCGAAAGACUUUUGUGAAUAGAGAGAAGGAGGAGGAAAAGAAAAAGGAUCAGAAAAUGCAAAGGAAAGCUGAAUUGCUGGCAGCUGCUAUGAUGGGGGUGUCAAGGGGAGGUGGCAGAGGUAGAGGACGGGGAAGGGUGUUAGGACAAAACCAGUGUGCCAUAUGUAAGAAGGAAGGACACUGGAAGGGUGAAUGUCCAGAAAGAGAAAAGGAGGAAGAAAAAGGAGGGGGAAGAGGUAGGUUUGCGAAGAGCUACAGAGGUGGCCCAAGGAGAAGCCAGGGAGGGAGAGAAAGAAGAAGAGGAUUUUCAAGGACUCCCCUCAUAGGCCUGGCAGAAGCAGAGGAAUGGGACUGAGACCGACUGGGUUCAGCCCGCCUCCCAGAACCUGUGGUCAGUAUAACAGUAGGAGGCAAACCUAUUCCCUUCCUUGUGAAUACUGGAGCCACCCGAUCAGUCCUAACCCAACCCCUAAGCCAAGCCUCCCCUCACUCUAUCAACAUACAAGGAGCAACAGGAAAAAUAUUGCAGAGACCCUUUUUGGAGCCCUUAAGUUGCACUAGGGGAGGAAAAACUAUAACCCUUCAGUUUGAAUAUAUGCCAAUUCUUUUAUUGGUAAGGGAUCUGCUUUGUAAACUAAGGGUGCAGAUCUCCUUUGAAGAAGAUGGCACAAUGGCCAUAAACUAUGGAAAGGUGAUGAUGGAAGUACCCCAUGCAGAGGAAUGGAGAAUGGUGAUGCUGGCACAAGCAGUAGAAGCAAAUACAAAGUGGAAAGAGUUCAAUAUGCCACACCUGUGGGCAGAGGACAACCCCCCCCCGGUUUUGCAAAGCAUCGUCCACUAUCUGCCAGCUGCCUGUACUGAAGAAUAGGAAAGAGUUAAGAGGAUUUUUUAGUUGCUGCUGGCUUCUGCCGAAUAUGGAUCCCUACCUUUAGUUUAAUAGCAAGAUCCCUAUAUGAGGCCACAGAGGAUGGGAGAUAAAGAACCAUUGCGAUAGGAACAGCAAGAAAAUAACAGCUUCACCGCUCUCAAGGAGGCUCUAAUGUGCGCCCCUAGUUUAGGUAUACCAGACUUGGACAAGUUAUUUCAACUGUUUGUAGAUACAAAGCAAAAUGUGGCAGUAGGAGUUCUCACCCAGAAAACAGGAACCUGGCAUCACCCGGUCACUUAUCUGUCUAAACAGCUUGACAAUGUAGCCAGAGGAUGGCCGGCUUGAAGCUAACAAGUUGACUUUUGGACAAAAGUUAGAUAUCUACACACCCCAUGCUCUUAAAGCUGUCUUAGGAGCAAAAGGACAUUUGUGGCUAACCAACCCAUGCAUGCUGAAAUAUCAAGCUCUAAUAAUACAUAAUCCAAUGAUUAUAUUAAUUUAAUCAAACUCACUGAAUCCAGCCACGCUGUUGCCUGAAUCAGACUUGGAAACCACACGUAGUUGCAUACAAGCUAUCGAAGAAACUUACACUAGCCGCUCAGACAUGAGAGAUGUCCCCCUGCUUGAUCCAGACUUUACAAUAUACACGGGUAGAACUAGUUUUAUGCAAGAAGACAUUUGAAAGGCAGGAUGUGCUGUGGUGAUUUUGGAGGAAGUAUGGGAAGCUGAGCAACUUCCGCCCGGUACAAAUGCUCAGCUAGCUGACCUGCAUGCAUUAACUAGAGCUUUGGAGUUGGCAAAAGGAAAGUGCAUUAAUAUUACACAGACUCUAAGUAUGCAUUCCUAACAGUGCAAGUCCAUGGAGCCUUAUACAAAGUAAGAGGACUUAUAACUUCAGGGGGAAAGGAUGUUAAAUAUGGACCACAGAUAUUGCGUCUGCUGAAUAGUGUGGGGAGCCUAAGGAAGUAGCUGUAAUGCAUUGCAAAGGCCAUCAGAAGGGAGCAUCAGAUAUUCAAUUAGGAAAUAAUAAGGCAGACAGGGAAGCUCACAUUGCUGUACUAAAGGCACCUUCUGAGCAUACAAAUUGUCUAGCUUUGUGGACCCCUGAGGAACAGGACCAGGGUAAACCAAACUACUCUCAGGAAGACUUGGACAAAGCUGAGAUGCUGGAAGCAAGGCAGGAAGAUGGUUGAUGGAUUUGGCCAGACCAGCGAGUCUCUAUCCCAGGAUAUAUGGCAUGGGAUGCAGUGCAACAGGUUUAUAAGCAACUGCACCUGGGAAAGGCGGCACUGGCAAAUGCCCUGAAGAGAGAGGUUUAUAUUGACAAAAUAGACAGUAUUGCAGCGAAUGUUUAUGCUAGAUGUGAGAUCUAUUCCACCAACAACCCAAGGCAAGGACCCCAACUGCCUCAAGAACAUCAGCCCAGAGGAAAUUAUCCCUUCGAUUCCUUGAUGAUUGAUUUUACUGACAUGCCAUGCUCAGGUCCCUAUAAAGCAAUGCUAGUCAUAGUAUGUACAUACACUAGAUGGCUAGAUUGCAUCCCUACAAAGAGGAAGAAGAAAAAAGCAACUGAGGUCGCAAAAGCCUUGCUUCAUAUUAUUAUUCCCAGGUAUGGGUUGCCAUCUAGAAUCUCUUCAGAUAAUGGUCCUGAAUUUAUCCAUAGAGCCACCCAAAGGAUAGCAGCUAUGCUAGGAAUAACAUGGAAGCUUGACUGUAGUUUCCAUGCUCAAUCAGGAGGAAGGGUGGAGAGAAUACAUAGACCAUUAAGGAAAAAUUGGCAAAAAUAUGUCAGGAGACUCAGCUUAAGUGGCCAGAUGCUUUAAAUAUGGCCCUGGUUGUGGUAAGGUGUGCCCC
This is a long non-coding RNA of Crotalus tigris (Tiger rattlesnake), 3981 nucleotides long. RefSeq lists it as uncharacterized. NCBI's taxonomy places the organism in Eukaryota, Metazoa, Chordata, Lepidosauria, Squamata, Viperidae. The transcript has 2 exons. The record is from RefSeq and is a predicted model, not a curated record.